This is a long non-coding RNA of Peromyscus leucopus (white-footed mouse), 1134 nucleotides long. RefSeq lists it as uncharacterized. The transcript has 3 exons. NCBI's taxonomy places the organism in Eukaryota, Metazoa, Chordata, Mammalia, Rodentia, Cricetidae. The record is from RefSeq and is a predicted model, not a curated record.
CCAGGCGGGGAGGAGAAAAGGCGUCUGCAUGGUGAUCUGGGAUGAUGGCAUUGAAGAGUACCUGUGGGGUGAAGGAGAACCAGGAUGUUGUGGAAUAAGCCAGUGAAGAGAAACCACUGAACAGGCAGGAGGCUGGAAGGAACCCUGGGCAGGCAACAGGGGCCGCACCCGCUGGACAGACAGACGGAUGAGGAGAGCGUUCAUCUCACUUUCAGGAGUGGAGCCACAAAGACACAUGGAGGAGGCCAUCGGCAUGGAGGAAGCAGGUCACUAUAUUAGCCAAGACUAGACUUUUGUCAGAAAUGGAAGAAGGGAGUUGCAUGUCUGCACAGGAAUGAUCACCACGAAGGAAGACUCAGCGGGGGAAGACGAAGCUGAAGGCUGAUGGGUGAAGGCCACAGGAACACCGUGGGUUCCAGGGCUACAAAGCCCGAAAACGAGAUGCAGGAGCAGACUCUCUGGCAGGUGCUGGCUCUGGAGCACCACCGUGGAGUGGUGAAGACAAGGUCCCUGACAGGAACUGUGGAACUGUGACAUGAGGCUGAGGGUGCUGAACGUAUCAUCCUCUUCAUAGGGAAACCAGAGACAUCAACAGAAGCAGUGCCAGGAAGAGCGUCAGUGAGACGGGAGUUCAAACCUCCAGAGAACCACUAUCAUCGGCAGACGGCAGCACCAGUGGAGGGUAGCUAGGGACAGAAGCUGAUAGCUGAGCUUGGGAGCUGGAAGGGGUUAUAUGUCUUUCUGCCUCAUUAGGUUGUCAGUUACUUGAGGAAAAACAUGACCUUUCACUCACAAUUUAGCACAGUUUUGGGAAUAGGUAUUCACUAUAAUUUUGGUGGCUGAGCUUCAGGGAUCUGAGGAAAUCUACUGUUUCCAAAAUCACACUGAACGAGAACGCAGCUGUCCUGGCUCCUCCCCCAGAUGCUGACCUGCCUCACUCCGCUCUCGGUUCUGCCAGGAACUCAGCUGACGCUGGUUCAGAGCCAUCACUGAGGCAGGCUCUCCAGCCUAGCAACGCUUUUGAGUGCAGCUCACUUAAAGGCCCAUUCUCUUCUUGGUCAAUUUCUUUCUUUCUUUUUAUUUUUGGUUUUUCAAGACAGGGUUUUUCUGUGUAGACCUAGCUGCCCUGGAACU